UUGCGGAACAAGUUCUCAGGGCAGCCCUCCAUCACAAGUGGCCACUGGGAUCAUCUCAGCAGAG
Gallus gallus (chicken) is the source of this 64-nucleotide microRNA precursor. The record is from Ensembl. NCBI's taxonomy places the organism in Eukaryota, Metazoa, Chordata, Aves, Galliformes, Phasianidae.